ACACCUGGUGGCCCAGGUCGAGGGUGACGGUCUGCGGGAACGCCCCGUUGAGGCUCUCGAAGUACGUCGCCGGGUCGCCGUCGACCAGGUUCG
RNAcentral lists this transfer RNA (93 nucleotides) under Catellatospora methionotrophica. Its description in RNAcentral is "tRNA-Arg". Lineage: Bacteria; Bacillati; Actinomycetota; Actinomycetes; Micromonosporales; Micromonosporaceae. The record is from RNAcentral.